RNAcentral lists this long non-coding RNA (1846 nucleotides) under Homo sapiens (human). Its description in RNAcentral is "HSALNT0320601". The record is from RNAcentral. Lineage: Eukaryota; Metazoa; Chordata; Mammalia; Primates; Hominidae.
GUCAUUCCUUCACUGGCUGUAUAGUCUCCUCUUCAAUUGCUGCACAGCUGUAUGGAGCUCAAUUUGUAAUAAAAGUGGUUUAGUGCAAACCAUACAUACAUAAUGGUCUUUGAUUUCCCCCUCGGCUUUGAAAAUCUCUCUUAAUUAUCUGCCUGUAGGCUUGGAAUUUCUUUGCCAAGUCUAUCUUCAUUUACUGAAGUGUCUCCAGAGUACUACUUUUAGAGGAAUUUCUUCAGAAGUGGAAACUGGCCCUAAGCCCUCAUGUUGAAGAAGGUCAGUGUAGCAAUAACAUUGACUUAAAACUUACUGCAGUAAGGAAGUCCCUUUAAAAAGGCACUCUGUGCCCACUCUGUUAAAAAGAAAAAAAAGUUGUUAAAAUAGAAGUGAGGAAGGCAAAGAAGAACAGUAUAAAGCCACAGCUGGGAGAAGUAACAAUUUAGUUGAGCUGAUUCCCUGGUGUGGGGAGGAGGCCUUUCUUCUGUUCUGUGUGCCUCUGAAUUCUGCUUACCCCAACACACUUGAACAACUUUGCUGAUACCUGCAUUAAUAAUUUCUGUCAUCUAUUCAGUUAUUCAUUCAAGCCUUCUCUGAACACCUAUGUAAAAUGAUACUUCUCUAUUCUUUUCUAUCCCCUUGCCAGGCUUUAUUCUCCUCUUGUCACACGUAUCACCAGUCCAUUAUAUUGUAUGUUCAAUUGUUUUAUUUUUGUUUCUCUCUGUUACCUAAAUGUAGGUCUCUGAGGACAAGGACCUGGCCUGUUUCAUUUAUUGCUAUACCCCUAGCACCUUGUGCAUGGCACAUAGGAGAAACUCAAUAAAUAUAAGUUAUUGAACUUCCACUCUGUAUUUAGGAUCUAAAAAUGAAUAAGACAUGAUUCCCACCUUCCAGGCAUUCACAGACUUUUUAGAGACAGAUGUAAACAUAAAUGCCUCUUGCAGUAUGAGAACUUGACUGGUAUGCAUGACUUCAGCAGAAGUGAUUUAACUGAUUAACUGCUGCACUAGACUGAUAGGCUAUAUCUACAUAUCUGCACAUAUAGAUAUAUCUAUAUAUCUAUAGGCUAUAUCUACAUAUACAGAUAUAUCAUAUUGCUUCUGUUUCUCUGAACCCUGGCUAAUACAGUGGGCCAGGCAUACAGACUUAAAAGCAUCAUACCCUGCUUCUGUAAGAGACAGAUGCCAACUGGAAUUAGAAGUGCAAGUGGUUUACUAAGAGAAGAGCCUGUGAAAGAUAAAGGACAAAGUGGAGGGAGCUGGAGGAGGUGGAGGAAGCCUGCAGCCCAUGAUGCAGCUCUGAGACCUAUGAAAGGAGAAACAGAAGAAAGGAUUGAGUAGAAAGUGCUUCAGACCAAAGUGCAGUUCUGAGAGUUGUGGCCAGCCUGAUGGAGAGUCCCUGAACCAAAGGCACCCAUUUGAGGAAUCCCCCUUUAGGCAGGAAUGGCCCAGCUCUAGCACCCACCACUGUACUCAGUCAUUGACUGGGGCAGCCUGGGGAAGUGUGACCUGGAAGUGAACGCUGCAGUCAAUCCAAGGUACAACAGCUGAAGACUAUGAAUCAACUAUGCCCCACACAAUAGGCCCUCCCACAGGGAGAUUCGAACAGGGCACCUUCAUGACCCAUUCUUCUGGCAUGCCCUUCUGAGGCUGGGGGUGGGCUUUCACAAGUUCUGACCAUCAUAGAAUCUCUAUGUGGUAAAGAUAAUAUGUUCUUAAAGUGGGGUAGGGGCUCCCUAGGAACCUGUAUUGAAGCUUAUGUUCUUAUUUAGAUUGUAUAUUUACCAAAGCCAAUCUUGGAGCCAUCUCUGCUCACAUGCAAGAGUGGGCCAGGCUGAGGAAGGAUGAUGGUG